RNAcentral lists this ribosomal RNA (300 nucleotides) under uncultured Alteromonadales bacterium. RNAcentral's name for it is "bacterial SSU rRNA". It matches the Rfam family "Bacterial small subunit ribosomal RNA", at positions 114 to 417 of the family's 1533-position model. Lineage: Bacteria; Pseudomonadati; Pseudomonadota; Gammaproteobacteria; Alteromonadales. The record is from RNAcentral.
CGCGUAGGAAUCUACCCAGUAGUGGGGGACAACUAGUGGAAACGCUAGCUAAUACCGCAUACGCCCUAAGGGGGAAAGCGGGGGAUCUUCGGACCUCGUGCUAUUGGAUGAGCCUGCGUAAGAUUAGCUUGUUGGUGAGGUAAUGGCUCACCAAGGCUACGAUCUUUAGCUGGUCUGAGAGGAUGAUCAGCCACACCGGGACUGAGACACGGCCCGGACUCCUACGGGAGGCAGCAGUCGGGAAUAUUGCGCAAUGGGGGAAACCCUGACGCAGCCAUGCCGCGUGUGUGAAGAAGGCCC